CCUACGGGAGGCUGCAGUGAGGAAUAUUGGUCAAUGGGCGUAAGUCUGAACCAGCCAAGUCGCGUGAAGGAUGAAUGCCCUAUGGAUUGUAAACUUCUUUUAUAUGGGAAUAAAGUGUUCCACGUGUGGGAUUUUGUAUGUACCAUAUGAAUAAGGAUCGGCUAACUCCGUGCCAGCAGCCGCGGUAAUACGGAGGAUCCGAGCGUUAUCCGGAUUUAUUGGGUUUAAAGGGUGCGUAGGUGGCUUGUUAAGUCAGUUGUGAAAGUUUGCGGCUCAACCGUAAAAUUGCAGUUGAAACUGGCAGGCUUGAGUACAGUAGAGGCGGGCGGAAUGCGUGGUGUAGCGGUGAAAUGCUUAGAUAUCACGAAGAACUCCGAUUGCGAAGGCAGCUCACUGGACUGUAACUGACACUGAGGCUCGAAAGUGUGGGUAUCAAACAGGAUUAGAUACCCUAGUAGUC
RNAcentral lists this ribosomal RNA (460 nucleotides) under uncultured bacterium. Its description in RNAcentral is "partial 16S ribosomal RNA". It matches the Rfam family "Bacterial small subunit ribosomal RNA", at positions 338 to 795 of the family's 1533-position model. The record is from RNAcentral.